AACGCGAAGAACCUUACCAGGGUUUGACAUGGAGUUGCACCACCCCGAGAAGGGUGUCCCGCAAGGGCGGCUCCACAGGUGCUGCAUGGCUGUCGUCAGCUCGUGUCGUGAGAUGUUGGGUUAAGUCCCGCAACGAGCGCAACCCUUAUCCCUAGUUGCCAUCGGGUCAAGCCGGGCACUCUAGUGAAACUGCCUCGGAUAACGAGGAGGAAGGUGGGGAUGACGUCAAGUCCUCAUGGCCUUUAUGUCCAGGGCUACACACGUGCUACAAUGGUCGGUACAAACCGUCGCAAACCCGUGAGGGGGAGCUAAUCGGAAAAAGCCGGCCUCAGUUCGGAUUGGAGUCUGCAACUCGACUCCAUGAAGCUGGAAUCGCUAGUAAUCGCGGAUCAGAACGCCGCGGUGAAUACGUUCCCGGGCCUUGUACACACCGGCUAC
RNAcentral lists this ribosomal RNA (438 nucleotides) under uncultured bacterium. Its description in RNAcentral is "bacterial SSU rRNA". It matches the Rfam family "Bacterial small subunit ribosomal RNA", at positions 958 to 1397 of the family's 1533-position model. The record is from RNAcentral.